GAUGAACGCUGGCGGCGUGCCUAAUACAUGCCAGUCGAGCGAACAGACGAGGAGCUUGCUCCUCUGACGUUAGCGGCGGACGGGUGAGUAACACGUGGAUAACCUACCUAUAAGACUGGGAUAACUUCGGGAAACCGGAGCUAAUACCGGAUAAUAUAUUGAACCGUAUGGUUCAAUAGUGAAAGACGGUUUUGCUGUCACUUAUAGAUGUAUCCGCGCCGCAUUAGCUAGUUGGUAAGGUAACGGCUUACCAAGGCAACGAUGCGUAGCCGACCUGAGAGGGUGAUCGGCAACACUGGAACGGAGACACGGUCAAGACUCCUACGGGAGGCAGCAGUAGGGAAUCUUCCGCAAUGGGCGAAAUCCUGACGGAGCAACGCCGCGUGAGUGAUGAAGGUCUUCGGAUCGUAAAACUCUGUUAUUAGGGAAGAACAAAUGUGUAAGUAACUAUGCACGUCUUGACGGUACCUAAUCAGAAAGCCACGGCUAACUACGUG
Molecule: ribosomal RNA, 497 nt
Filed under: uncultured bacterium
Lineage: Bacteria
Description: partial 16S ribosomal RNA
Rfam family: Bacterial small subunit ribosomal RNA
Source: RNAcentral